RNAcentral lists this long non-coding RNA (503 nucleotides) under Phasianus colchicus (ring-necked pheasant). Its description in RNAcentral is "lncRNA (ENSPCLG00000005121.1)". The record is from RNAcentral. Lineage: Eukaryota; Metazoa; Chordata; Aves; Galliformes; Phasianidae.
GUUUUCCAUGGUGAUGCACAAAAGGAAGAACGCCAUGCGGAGCAGCAGACCUGGAGCUGUCCCCACAGCGCUCGCCCCGGAUUCAAGUGCUCUGAGAAGCUGAAAAUGUGACCUUCAGAACGUUCUGUUGUUGUGGGCUGAGGCUGCACCUGGUCAACCCUGUACCAAAGCGGGCAGAACGGUGCAGAAUGUAUACCUGGUUCCUCUGCAGAUAGAAGCCUGUAUCCAGCCCUGUGGUGCAGGAGGACCAUGAGUGGAAGCACAGAAGAUGGAACGUUCAGACAAAAGAAUCCUGUAACCUCUAAUGAAAGAGUUAAACAGAGGCUUGAGACAGAGUGCAGACACUUCGCCAUUGGAAUGGUAAAGUGCCAAGAGAAAGGACACUGAUUGCUUGCAAACAUUGACCUCCUUUUGUCACCAGCAUUAAAAUCUAUACACUUGUUCUGAUUCUGGGGCAUCUUCUCCAAUAAGAAAAGGUGCAAUAAAGAUUUUGAAGUGUGGCA